This 429-nucleotide ribosomal RNA is filed under the name Bacteroidota bacterium. RNAcentral's name for it is "Bacteroidetes bacterium partial 16S ribosomal RNA". It matches the Rfam family "Bacterial small subunit ribosomal RNA", at positions 355 to 776 of the family's 1533-position model. Lineage: Bacteria; Pseudomonadati; Bacteroidota. The record is from RNAcentral.
UAGGGAAUCUUCGGCAAUGGGGGGAACCCUGACCGAGCAACGCCGCGUGAGUGAAGAAGGUUUUCGGAUCGUAAAGCUCUGUUGUUAAGGAAGAACGAGUGUGAGAAUGGAAAGUUCAUACUGUGACGGUACUUAACCAGAAAGGGACGGCUAACUACGUGCCAGCAGCCGCGGUAAUACGUAGGUCCCGAGCGUUGUCCGGAUUUAUUGGGCGUAAAGCGAGCGCAGGCGGUUAGAUAAGUCUGAAGUUAAAGGCAGUGGCUCAACCAUUGUAGUCUUUGGAAACUGUUUAACUUGAGUGCAGAAGGGGGGAGUGGAAUUCCAUGUGUAGCGGUGAAAUGCGUAGAUAUAUGGAGGAACACCGGUGGCGAAAGCGGCUCUCUGGUCUGUAACUGACGCUGAGGCUCGAAAGCGUGGGGAGCGAACAGG